Molecule: ribosomal RNA, 415 nt
Filed under: Streptococcus lutetiensis
Lineage: Bacteria; Bacillati; Bacillota; Bacilli; Lactobacillales; Streptococcaceae
Description: bacterial SSU rRNA
Rfam family: Bacterial small subunit ribosomal RNA
Source: RNAcentral
GCAGUAGAACGCUGAAGACUUUAGCUUGCUAAAGUUGGAAGAGUUGCGAACGGGUGAGUAACGCGUAGGUAACCUGCCUACUAGCGGGGGAUAACUAUUGGAAACGAUAGCUAAUACCGCAUAACAGCAUUUAACCCAUGUUAGAUGCUUGAAAGGAGCAAUUGCUUCACUAGUAGAUGGACCUGCGUUGUAUUAGCUAGUUGGUGAGGUAACGGCUCACCAAGGCGACGAUACAUAGCCGACCUGAGAGGGUGAUCGGCCACACUGGGACUGAGACACGGCCCAGACUCCUACGGGAGGCAGCAGUAGGGAAUCUUCGGCAAUGGGGGCAACCCUGACCGAGCAACGCCGCGUGAGUGAAGAAGGUUUUCGGAUCGUAAAGCUCUGUUGUAAGAGAAGAACGUGUGUGAGAGUG